AGACCGGGAUAACAGCUGGAAACGGCUGCUAAUACCGGAUACGCUCUUGGAGCCGCAUGGUGCCGAGAGGAAAGGUGAGCCGCUAUCAGAUGGAUCCGCGUCCCAUUAGCUGGUUGGUGGUGUAGCGGACCACCAAGGCGACGAUGGGUAGCCGGCCUGAGAGGGCGACCGGCCACACUGGGACUGAGACACGGCCCAGACUCCUACGGGAGGCAGCAGUGGGGAAUCUUCCGCAAUGGGCGAAAGCCUGACGGAGCAACGCCGCGUGAGGGAAGAAGGCCUUCGGGUUGUAAACCUCUGUCCUAAAGGAAGAAAGAAAUGACGGUACUUUAGGAGGAAGCCCCGGCUAACUACGUGCCAGCAGCCGCGGUAAAACGUAGGGGGCGAGCGUUGUCCGGAAUUACUGGGCGUAAAGGGCGCGUAGGUGGUUCAUUAAGUUAGAGGUGAAAGUGCGGGGCUUAACCCCGUGAUUGCCUCUGAUACUGGUGGACUUGAGUGCAGGAGAGGGGAGCGGAAUUCCCAGUGUAGCGGUGAAAUGCGUAGAUAUUGGGAGGAACACCAGUGGCGAAGGCGGCUCUCUGGACUGCAACUGACACUGAGGCGCGAAAGCGUGGGGAGCAAACAGGAUUAGAUACCCUGGUAGUCCACGCCGUAAACGAUGAGUGCUAGGUGUUGCGGGUAUCGACCCCUGCAGUGCCGCAGUAAACACAAUAAGCACUCCGCCUGGGGAGUACGGUCGCAAGACUGAAACUCAAAGGAAUUGACGGGGGCCCGCACAAGCGGUGGAGUAUGUGGUUUAAUUCGACGCAACGCGAAGAACCUUACCAGGGCUUGACAUCGCGCGACAGCUCUAGAGAUAGAGGGUUCUGCCUUAGGGUAGACGCGCAGACAGGUGGUGCAUGGUUGUCGUCAGCUCGUGUCGUGAGAUGUUGGGUUAAGUCCCGCAACGAGCGCAACCCCUAACAUUAGUUGCCAGCGAGAGAGACGGGGACUCUAAUGUGACUGCCGUUGACAAAACGGAGGAAGGUGGGGAUGACGUCAAAUCAUCAUGCCCCUUAUGUCCUGGGCUACACACGUACUACAAUGGCCGGUACAAACGGAGGCGAAGGCGUGAGCCGGAGCAAAACUGAGAAAGCCGGUCUCAGUUCGGAUUGUAGUCUGCAACUCGACUACAUGAAGUCGGAAUCGCUAGUAAUCGC
RNAcentral lists this ribosomal RNA (1199 nucleotides) under bacterium. Its description in RNAcentral is "bacterial SSU rRNA". It matches the Rfam family "Bacterial small subunit ribosomal RNA", at positions 135 to 1345 of the family's 1533-position model. The record is from RNAcentral.